This 89-nucleotide transfer RNA is filed under the name Draconibacterium orientale. Its description in RNAcentral is "tRNA-Leu". It matches the Rfam family "tRNA". Rfam says of the family: Transfer RNA (tRNA) molecules are approximately 80 nucleotides in length. Their secondary structure includes four short double-helical elements and three loops (D, anti-codon, and T loops). Further hydrogen bonds mediate the characteristic L-shaped molecular structure. tRNAs have two regions of fundamental functional importance: the anti-codon, which is responsible for specific mRNA codon recognition, and the 3' end, to which the tRNAs corresponding amino acid is attached (by aminoacyl-tRNA synthetases). tRNAs cope with the degeneracy of the genetic code in two manners: having more than one tRNA (with a specific anti-codon) for a particular amino acid; and 'wobble' base-pairing, i.e. permitting non-standard base-pairing at the 3rd anti-codon position. Lineage: Bacteria; Pseudomonadati; Bacteroidota; Bacteroidia; Marinilabiliales; Prolixibacteraceae. The record is from RNAcentral.
GCCCAGGUGGUGGAAUUGGUAGACACGCAAGGUUGAGGGCCUUGUGGGAGAAUUUUCCCGUGCAAGUUCGAGUCUUGUUCUGGGCACGA